UGGGGGCCUUUACAACAAGCACCAUUGGUGGUGGUAUCUUUCAAGCAAUUAAGUUUUCACAAUUCUCCAGUAGGAGUAAAUCACAAACUCCAAAGGAGUUUGACAGCUAUUAAAAUCCAUGUUCCAUAAUUGGGAGGUAGCUUUGCAUUCAGAGAGGUCUGUUUCCCAUGAUUGACUGUAGUAUGGCUCAAGUCAGAGGAAAAGAAGAUCCCUGGAACUCUAUUACAAGUGGUGCCAUAACGGGAGCCAUACUGGCAGCAAGAAAUGGACCAGUGGCUAUAGUUGGGUCAGCUGCGAUGAGUAACAUUCUUCUAGCUUGAACUGAAGGAGAUAUUAUCUUGUUCACAAAAUUUGCUUCUGAAUAUUUGCUGAAGAACUCUUCUAGUUGUCUUCAACCGAGUUACCAUCCUCACUUUUUGGAGACUAUGGACAAUAUCAGUAG
RNAcentral lists this long non-coding RNA (442 nucleotides) under Homo sapiens (human). RNAcentral describes it as "non-protein coding lnc-CDC73-13:1". The record is from RNAcentral. Lineage: Eukaryota; Metazoa; Chordata; Mammalia; Primates; Hominidae.